Gadus macrocephalus (Pacific cod) is the source of this 1387-nucleotide long non-coding RNA. RefSeq lists it as uncharacterized. Lineage: Eukaryota; Metazoa; Chordata; Actinopteri; Gadiformes; Gadidae. The transcript is spliced from 4 exons. The record is from RefSeq and is a predicted model, not a curated record.
AGACGCUCCAAAGACGCCCUCAGUGAGCGUGAGACCCCCUGGUGGAAUAAAGGAGGGAGGUUCAGUGACUCUGAGCUGCAGCAGUGAUGCCAACCCAGCAGCUGACUACACCUGGUUCAGGGAACAUGGAGGCUCAGUGGAAGAAUUAGGAGAGAACUACACCAUCAGUAACAUCACAACUGAGCUUGGAGGACAUUAUUACUGUGAAGCUCGUAAUGCAGUUGGACUUCAGAAUUCAACUUUGAUGUUCCUUAAUGUGACAGCCACACCAUCAUCACCAUCAUCAGGGCCUACAACUGUGGCAGCAGGAACUGUAGCUGUUUUACUGGCCACCAUGCUCCUCGUCAUCUUCCUCUGGAUGAGAAGAAAGAGGGCUUCUAGGAAAGCGCGUGGCCAGGGAGGAAGGCCAGAUACCAGGGAGGAGUCUCCUCCGUGUCCUGUGUAUGACAACGUCUCAGCUCUGACCAAUCGCUCGGCUUCUGCAGCACAGAGAACCAAUAGAAGAGCAGGAUGACCCUCACUAUGCCAGCAUCCACAUCUCUCGCUCUAAGAACCAGGAAGUGCCUCGUGGGUUUGCUGGUGUUCUGGUAGAGUCUGAUCAUACAGAGCAGGUCCUUUACUCUGCCAUCAACCUUAAAAGACCCAAGGCUGUCCCUGAGUAAGCACUCUUGAUAGUUCUCGAAAAUAAACUUUGAAGCUUGAGACUUCAUCCUCCCAAGGGACAGCUUGUGGAGGCAAAGCCAUUUAUAAACCGUUGACAAUUUACUGAGUUUCUUAACUUCUCUUUCUCGUUUUCACUUCUUCUUUUCAUUUAAAGUAAACUGAUGUCAGAUACCACCAUCAAAUAAACAGCCAAGUUUUUAUAUAGAUUAAGCAUUAAAUGGGUUUUAAUAACAUUUCUAGCAAUAAAUGUGUAUUUUAUUGUCAUCAUCUUCGUUCAUUGAUUGUAUAUAUCGUUUAGUUUGUUUGUUACUAAUAAUAUUUUUCUUAACAGAAAAAAACGCUUUCUAUCAUUACUUUGUUGGUCGAUAUGGGUGCUGCUAUCACAAAAAAUAUGGAUCAAAUGUAUACAUUUUUUUGUUGACAUUCAUUUUAUUCUCAGUGGAAAAUGCUUGUAUCGGCAUUAAGAUGUGUUUGAUACCAUGCCUCGCGAGAAACAUGCUUUUUAUUUAACUGAUUGUAUAUGAUGUUUAGUGGUUAAGUUAAACUGCUUAUGGUGUUUUCAUGCUUCCAGGCUAUUUUCUGUUUAAGUAAUAACCUAAAUGAUAUAUAAAAACACGUAUUUAAAAAAUUUGGAAACAUGCAGGCUGGUCUCAAAAAACGUUCGCAUGAUAUCUUAUUUUCCGUAUGAUUCCGACAAAUGUCUGGUAGCACGAGUGAUCAGUGC